AUGUUGUUAGACAACGAUGAACCUUCGAACUAUGAAGAAGCGAUGGCGGGCCCAGAUUCCAACAAAUGGCUUGGAGCCAUGAAAUCCGAGAUAGAAUCCAUGUAUGAAAACAAAGUAUGGACUUUGACUGACUUGCCCAAUGAUCGGCGAGCGAUAGAAAACAAAUGGAUCUUUAAGAAGAAGACGGACGCUAAUGGUAAUGUCACCAUCUAUAAAGCUCGACUUGUCGCUAAGGGUUAUCGGCAAGUUCAAGGGAUUGACUACGAUGAGACUUUCUCUCCCGUAGCGAAGCUUAAGUCCGUCUGA
This 306-nucleotide ribosomal RNA is filed under the name Triticum aestivum (bread wheat). RNAcentral describes it as "partial small subunit ribosomal RNA". The record is from RNAcentral. Lineage: Eukaryota; Viridiplantae; Streptophyta; Magnoliopsida; Poales; Poaceae.